CCCAUGAAUACAUGAUGAAAUAAAUGUUGGUAGGGACAUCUGAGUAAAUCUGAAGAAACGCCAACUCUUCUGACUACAUGGG
Small nucleolar RNA from Micropterus dolomieu (smallmouth bass), 82 nucleotides. RefSeq annotates it as small nucleolar RNA SNORD74. Lineage: Eukaryota; Metazoa; Chordata; Actinopteri; Centrarchiformes; Centrarchidae. The record is from RefSeq and is a predicted model, not a curated record. The transcript has a single exon.